Molecule: long non-coding RNA, 1071 nt
Organism: Manihot esculenta (cassava)
Lineage: Eukaryota; Viridiplantae; Streptophyta; Magnoliopsida; Malpighiales; Euphorbiaceae
Exons: 4
Source: RefSeq, a predicted model, not a curated record
UUAUCGGGUUCUUCCCAACGACAGAUCAACACGCUUCGUGGUCCUUUGCAAAAACCCUUCUCUCUCCUGAGUUUCGGGUUUCGUUUGAAUCGAAAGUGAAAGGUCACGUAUACAAAACAAGCUUGAUUGGUAUCAGCAUUUUGUUUUUAACAUUUUCUAUCAUCGAGGGAAGUUGCUCUUCGACAUCUGUUCAAGAUCUAGGGUUCUUGUCCUUUCUGAGACGCUUACGACGCUGACGCCGGGGAUACGGCAAGAGAGUGAGCUUUGUUACCUGAUUUCUCACCUUUUUUGCCUCCUUAAGAUUUUCUCUUGUGUCGAAAAUUAGGGUUUUGAUUUUAGUCAUAAGCAUGUAGUUAUUUGUUGUUAAUUCCUUGGUACAGGGAAGCCGCUGGGCGUUUCACUUUCAGAAGAGAGAAGGUAGCAGCCAUGGAGAGCUGUUCUACUAGGACUCAUUAGCGAUGUGUGUCCUAGAACAAACUCCAAGGGCUUCAAAACAUUCUUUGUAGCCAGCGACAGAGCACAUUAAUACUAUCAGAUCCCAUGAUGUUUAAGAAAAAUAUGUUGUUUUCAGUUCUUCUUCGUUAUUUCUGACCCUUGUUCGGGUUAUUGAGAAAGUUUAUGGGAAUUAUUCGAUUCUUGGAGCUGGGUUUUGGAGGGUAAAAUUGAGAUUUGUUAAUUGUGGUUUCAAUCUUCUUGGUUAAUCAGGUUGAUCUAGUAGACUUAAUUCAUUGAUUGGUCUGGAGUUGAAUGCCUCAAUCAAAACUCCAGCCACUCUCUUCCCAAUGCUCUCAAACAGGGAUAUAGAGAAGAUGCUGGUUUGAAUCUAGAGAGCGAUGCGGAUGAGCAGCUGUUGAUCUAUAUACCUUUCACUCAAGUUGUUAAACGGUACUCUGUUGUUGUCCAGGGACCUGAAGAAGAAGGAGAUGUUGCCAUGGCUGAUGCCUGCACAAGUUCAAUCAAAGGCUCGCCAAGUGCAAGGGGAUCAAGUUUUAUUGAGGGGAUCUCUAAAUCUUCAUAUGUAAGACAAGCAUCAGAUCUUAAAGGUUCUUCCGUAAAGGUCAGUUUUGAAAU